RNAcentral lists this long non-coding RNA (1403 nucleotides) under Sinocyclocheilus grahami. RNAcentral describes it as "lncRNA (ENSSGRG00000017692.1)". The record is from RNAcentral. Lineage: Eukaryota; Metazoa; Chordata; Actinopteri; Cypriniformes; Cyprinidae.
GUACUUUUUCUUAUUAUUCUUCUUCUUCCAGUGUACCACCACAAAACGGUGAAGAAGCACCUUUCAAGAUCGAACCAGAAUAUAUAGAAGUGACAGAUUCUGAACUGGGAACGAACAAUAAUGUCUCGGUUUUGGCUUAUCCGGCUGAAUUUAGAGGUUUCAUGUUGGACGCUCGUAAGUGUGAUAAGUGUGAGUCUGCUGGCAUGUUUAAUUUGAUUAACCCGGACAACAGCAUACUCAUCUGUGGUGUGAGUCCUGCCCUGCACCCACUACACAUAUUCGUUAUCCAUUUUUACACCAUGUGUUAAAUGUUAUAGCAAUUAAUUCCUUAAACUGAAUUGCACUGUUUAUGAUAUGGAUAUAUUAUCAGGGCCAUGCUGUGGCUCAAAAAAAUAACCAAAGAAAAAGGACAGUUCAAGUGUUGUGGACCCCCGAAGAGACUGGAGUGUUUUUCUUCAGAGCUGUAUUCGUUGAAGAAUACAGUAAGGUUUGGCUAAGGAAGGCAAUCAUAUUCACGUCGACUGCACCACCAACCACUGAAGCCACCAGUCACAGUGCACAAACAAGUCCAACAGAGAUGUGCUUUAGCACUGUUAUUAUUCAGUCGACUGUGUUUUCUUGGAGGCUCUUCUCUCCUGAUGAUCAUCAGACCAGUAUCGAAAAUGGUAAGUGUGUCCAAAAACUGCAGAAUGCACUAAAUAUAUUCAGUUUAAAAAUAAAAAAAGGAAUUAAUAUAAUAAGACAAGGAGUUUUAAAUCUUGAUAACUUAUAUGCAUGAUGUCCUCCAGCUUAAAUGCACAGAUUCAUACUGAAUUCAUAAUUUAAUAUAAAGUAUUUGACAAAUCAUGUCUCUCUUCACAGGCCACCAUGAUUGCGUCUGUCUUUGAACUAGCCUCCAAAACUAUUGCUGUCAUCUUCAUACUAAUAAAACUAAUUAAAGUAAGACUUUUUUUUUACUAGACUGAACUUGUACUAAAAUUAUUAUUUGCUUAACCAUGGCAAUUGACAUCUAAUUUAUUUUGCUGUACAUGUUUUUGUGUCAGUAUGAGUGUGUGUGUGAGUGUGAUAGUUUGCAGAUUGUGUUUACUGCUUUGACAGUGUCUGCCAUGGCUUCAAGCCUGCUGCACACUCUCACCGUUUUCCUUCACUGUGGACCAAGCCAUGAAUUGUGAGUGUAAUCUUCACAUAUCAGUGUCUCUAGUGUCACCAGACAGAACUGCAGAAAUAACUGUUUCCUAACAGGUUUUGUCUGCCAUUGACCUUAGCCAGUGAGUGUAGCGCCAUAUUUAAUUUUUGACAGGAAUUAAACUGCUGUUUAACAACAUACUGAUUGUUCAUCUGAUGAAACGUCUUGCCAAAAAAAGUCCAGUAGACAAAAACUCCAUGAAACAGUUCUUCACGGA